GAUGAAGAACGCAGCGAAACGCGAUAUGUAAUGUGAAUUGCUGAAUUCAGUGAAUCAUCGAAUCUUUGAACGCACAUGGCGCCUUCCAGUAUCCUGGGAGGCAUGCCUGUCCGAGCGUCGUUUCAACCCUCGAGCCCCCGUGGCCCGGCGUUGGGGAUCUGCCCAGGCAGUCCCCGAAAACCAGUGGCGGACCCGUUACAGGCCCUUCCCUUGCGUAGUAGCAUUCGCCUCGCAUCGGGAGCCAGCGGGCUUCCAGCCUCUAAACCCCCAUCAAGUCCGCCCCGGCGGCACCAAGGUUGACCUCGGAUCAGGUAGGAAUACCCGCUGAACUUAAGCAUAUCAAUAAGCGGAGGA
Molecule: unclassified non-coding RNA, 354 nt
Filed under: soil metagenome
Description: partial contains 5.8S ribosomal RNA, internal transcribed spacer 2, and large subunit ribosomal RNA
Rfam family: 5.8S ribosomal RNA (bases 1-120)
Source: RNAcentral